GACGAACGCUGGCGGCGUGCUUAACACAUGCGAGUCGAACGAUGAAGAAAAGAAUCGAAGCUUCGGCAGAAAUUCAUUUCGGAUUAGUGGCAGACGGGUGAGUAACGCGUGAGCAACCUACCUCUUACAAAGGGAUAGCCUCGGGAAACCGGGAUUAAUACCAUAUAACAUUGCGACGAAGCAUUUCGAUGCAAUCAAAGCUACGGCGGUAAGAGAUGGGCUCGCGUCCCAUUAACCGGAUGGUGAGGUAACGGCUCACCAUAGUGACGAUGGGUAACCGGCCUGGGAGGGGGAACGGUCACACUGGAACUGAGACACGGUCCAGACUCCUACGGGAGGCAGCAGUGGGGAAUAUUGCACAAUGGAGGGAACUCUGAUGCAGCGACGCCGCGUGAGUGAUGAAGGAAUUCGUUUCGUAAAACUCUGUUCUAUGGGAAGAAAAGGACUGUACCAUAGGAGAAAGCUCCGGCUAAAUACGUG
RNAcentral lists this ribosomal RNA (480 nucleotides) under uncultured bacterium. RNAcentral describes it as "partial 16S ribosomal RNA". It matches the Rfam family "Bacterial small subunit ribosomal RNA", at positions 28 to 507 of the family's 1533-position model. The record is from RNAcentral.